Molecule: ribosomal RNA, 497 nt
Filed under: uncultured bacterium
Lineage: Bacteria
Description: partial 16S ribosomal RNA
Rfam family: Bacterial small subunit ribosomal RNA
Source: RNAcentral
GAUGAACGCUGGCGGCGUGCCUAAUACAUGCAAGUCGAGCGAACAGACGAGGAGCUUGCUCCUUCGACGUUAGCGGCGGACGGGUGAGUAACACGUAGGUAACCUACCUAUAAGACUGGGAUAACUUCGGGAAACCGGAGCUAAUACCGGAUAAUAUUUCGAACCGCAUGGUUCGAUAGUGAAAGAUGGCUUUGCUAUCACUUAUAGAUGGACCUGCGCCGUAUUAGCUAGUUGGUAAGGUAACGGCUUACCAAGGCAACGAUACGUAGCCGACCUGAGAGGGUGAUCGGCCACACUGGAACUGAGACACGGUCCAGACGCCUACGGGAGGCAGCAGUAGGGAAUCUUCCGCAAAGGGCGAAAGCCUGACGGAGCAACGCCGCGUGAGUGAUGAAGGUCUUCGGAUCGUAAAACUCUGUUAUUAGGGAAGAACAAACGUGUAAGUAACUGUGCACGUCUUGACGGUACCUAAUCAGAAAGCCACGGCUAACUACGUG